RNAcentral lists this unclassified non-coding RNA (305 nucleotides) under uncultured fungus. Its description in RNAcentral is "partial contains 5.8S ribosomal RNA, internal transcribed spacer 2, and large subunit ribosomal RNA". The record is from RNAcentral. Lineage: Eukaryota; Fungi.
AACGCAUAUUGCACUCUCUGGUAUUCCGGAGAGUACGCCUGUUUCAGUAUCAAAAAUGUCAUCCAAUGUUUUGGCUUGUUGUACCAAAACUUGUGGGAUUUGGGUUUUGCAGGAAUUCUUUCUGCUGGCCUUAAAUGGUUCGGCCACAAAAUCCAGGCGAUAAGGCGUAAUAGUUGGUACUUUUGGUAUCAUCCUUUCGCUGAAGCUUGUCUUUUGAAUCAAUGGCUCGACAAUAUGGAAAAAUGAAAUAUAUAUUUCACCAUUGUUUAGAUCUGAAAUCAGGUGGGACUACCCGCUGAACUUAA